RNAcentral lists this ribosomal RNA (504 nucleotides) under uncultured archaeon. RNAcentral's name for it is "bacterial SSU rRNA". It matches the Rfam family "Archaeal small subunit ribosomal RNA", at positions 375 to 879 of the family's 1478-position model. The record is from RNAcentral.
GGGACUUUGAGUGCCAGGAUACAAUCUUGGCUGUCGUCGUGCCUAAAAAGCACGGCAUAGCAAGGGCCGGGCAAGACCGGUGCCAGCCGCCGCGGUAACACCGGCGGCUCGAGUGGUAACCGCUAUUAUUGGGUCUAAAGGGUCUGUAGCCGGCUGGAUAAGUCUCUUGGGAAAUCCGACAGCUUAACUGUCGGGCUGUCAGGAGAUACUGUCCGGCUCGAGACCGGGAGAGGUGAGAGGUACUUCAUGGGUAGGGGUGAAAUCUUGUAAUCCUUGAAGGACCACCAGUGGCGAAGGCGUCUCACCAGAACGGAUCUGACGGCAAGGGACGAAAGCUAGGGGCACGAACCGGAUUAGAUACCCGGGUAGUCCUGGCCGUAAACGAUACUCGCUAGGUGUCGGCCACGGUGCGACCGUGGUCGGUGCCGUAGGGAAGCCGUGAAGCGAGCCACCUGGGAAGUACGGCCGCAAGGCUGAAACUUAAAGGAAUUGGCGGGGGAGCAC